AACGAACGCUGGCGGCGUGGAUAAGACAUGCAAGUCGAACGGGAUUUCAUUGGUAGCAAUACUCGUGAAGUUCAGUGGCGUAAGGGUGCGUAACACGUGGGCAACCUGCCGAGAAGUGGGGGAUAGCUCGUCGAAAGGCGAAUUAAUACCGCAUGUGGUUAGCGCUGGAGUCAGUGCGACACCAAAGCCGGGGCAACCUGGCGCUUCUUGAUGGGCCCGCGGCCUAUCAGCUAGUUGGUGAGGUAACGGCUCACCAAGGCUAUGACGGGUAGCUGGUCUGAGAGGACGACCAGCCACACUGGAACUGAGACACGGUCCAGACACCUACGGGUGGCAGCAGUCGAGAAUUUUUCUCAAUGGGGAAACCCUGAAGGAGCGACGCCGCGUGGAGGAUGAAGGUCUUCGGAUUGUAAACUCCUGUCAUUUGGGAACAAUGUGCAUUGGUUAACUGCCGGUGCAUUGAUAGUACCAGAA
Molecule: ribosomal RNA, 474 nt
Filed under: uncultured bacterium
Lineage: Bacteria
Description: bacterial SSU rRNA
Rfam family: Bacterial small subunit ribosomal RNA
Source: RNAcentral